UGUCAUUGGUAAACAUCCUUAGAUGGCAUCAGUCAAAUAAGUCCAGUACUAUGUUGCAUGUUCCCUGUGACCCUAAUUUCUAAACUCUCCAGAAAAAACUCCAUUCAGCUGAGUUCUGUGCGCUCAAUGGCAUGAUCACUGAAAUGUGCAACCUUAUACAGUAUUUAAUUUGUGAACAGCUCAACAGUAUACACCAAGGAGCUGUAAGAUGUGUAACCAUGGCAUGUGUGCAGCUCCAAAUGUCUGAGGUGCCAGCUGAGAUCUGAGAUCAUCAGACCAGAGGAGGGAUACGGAGCAGGAGAGACUGAAAGAAAGCAACUUGCACAGAGAAGUCCCUCUCCUAGCAGAUUUGGAAACAUCUCUCACAAAAACACGGUAAGGACACUGUGUCUCAUUGCUCUAUUAGCUUUUCAUUUGCUGCAGCUUGCAAAAUGAAAUAACUGUGUAACAAACUAUUUUAUUUCCUUAUUAGAAGCAAAGUAUUGGAAUCA
Molecule: long non-coding RNA, 491 nt
Filed under: Chrysolophus pictus (golden pheasant)
Lineage: Eukaryota; Metazoa; Chordata; Aves; Galliformes; Phasianidae
Description: lncRNA (ENSCPIG00010009862.1)
Source: RNAcentral